UAUUUACCCACUUCAUCCUCAAGACAAUACCAUUAAGUAUGCACGAUCAUCAACUCCAUUCUACAAAUGAAGAAACCGGCACAGUGAAGGCCAAGGAAUGACCACAUGAGAACACAGCAAGAAGGCAUCCACCUGCACGCCAGGAAGAGAGCCCUCACCUGCAACUGAAUUGGCUGACUUCUUGAUCUUGGACUUCCAGCCUCCAGAACUGUAAGAAAUAGAUUUUGUUCUUUUCUAGUUCCUGACCUCAUCUUCCAUCAGC
RNAcentral lists this long non-coding RNA (262 nucleotides) under Homo sapiens (human). RNAcentral describes it as "HSALNT0257326". Lineage: Eukaryota; Metazoa; Chordata; Mammalia; Primates; Hominidae. The record is from RNAcentral.